GGCGGGAUAGCUCAGUUGGCUAGAGCAUGCGGUUCAUACCCGCAGUGUCGGGGGUUCGAAUCCCUCUCCCGCUACCA
This 77-nucleotide transfer RNA is filed under the name Bacillota bacterium. RNAcentral's name for it is "tRNA-Met". It matches the Rfam family "tRNA". From Rfam's summary of the family: Transfer RNA (tRNA) molecules are approximately 80 nucleotides in length. Their secondary structure includes four short double-helical elements and three loops (D, anti-codon, and T loops). Further hydrogen bonds mediate the characteristic L-shaped molecular structure. tRNAs have two regions of fundamental functional importance: the anti-codon, which is responsible for specific mRNA codon recognition, and the 3' end, to which the tRNAs corresponding amino acid is attached (by aminoacyl-tRNA synthetases). tRNAs cope with the degeneracy of the genetic code in two manners: having more than one tRNA (with a specific anti-codon) for a particular amino acid; and 'wobble' base-pairing, i.e. permitting non-standard base-pairing at the 3rd anti-codon position. The record is from RNAcentral. Lineage: Bacteria; Bacillati; Bacillota.